AAGCGGCAACAGCUCAAAUUUGAAAUCUGGCUUCGGCCCGAGUUGUAAUUUGUAGAGGAUGCUUUUGGUGAGGUGCCUUCUGAGUUCCCUGGAACGGGACGCCAGAGAGGGUGAGAGCCCCGUAUAGUCGGCCACCGAUCCUCUGUAAAGCUCCUUCGACGAGUCGAGUAGUUUGGGAAUGCUGCUCAAAAUGGGAGGUAUAUCUCUUCUAAAGCUAAAUAUUGGCCAGAGACCGAUAGCGCACAAGUAGAGUGAUCGAAAGAUGAAAAGCACUUUGAAAAGAGGGUUAAAUAGCACGUGAAAUUGUUGAAAGGGAAGCGCUUGUGACCAGACUUGUGCCGGGCUGAUCAUCCAGUGUUCUCACUGGUGCACUCGACCCGGCUCAGGCCAGCGUCGGUUCUCGCGGGGGGAUAAAAGCUUCGGGAACGUGGCACCUCCGGGUGUGUUAUAGCCCGCUGCUUAAUACCUUCGCGGGGACCGAGGUUCGCGCUCGGCAA
Molecule: ribosomal RNA, 497 nt
Filed under: Coniochaeta velutina
Lineage: Eukaryota; Fungi; Ascomycota; Sordariomycetes; Coniochaetales; Coniochaetaceae
Description: LSU rRNA
Rfam family: Eukaryotic large subunit ribosomal RNA
Source: RNAcentral